UAAGGACUUGGACUCCGGAGCUCAACGACAAGCUCCCCGAUUAGCGGCAGCGACCUCCGCACAAGCUGGGCAGACCUGUCUGCGCCUCAAUUCCUCCUCCACGAACGGAGAUCCCGGCAGUGCCUCCUCUGCAGGGCUGUCGUGGAACCGCACCGCGGGGAGAACUCACACAGUGCCCGGCACUCAACAACCGUUAGCUGUACACCCAGCCACGAUCUCGCAACGCAGAAACCGCGCGCCUCCCCGCUGCGUGCUCCCGACACCCGGCACAACAUCCGUGCCAAGGAAGGACGAAACGCGCUUGCUUGACUUCUAAGGAGCAAGCCAAGGAGAGCCGGCACGAAUGGGGCACCCCGGGGCUCCGCGGGCGGGUGUCCGGCUUCGCCGUCGGGGCGUCUGGGAGUCUGAGAGUUGAGAACAGAAAGAGCCCUUAACUGCCAUCUCGAAUCCCUACGUUUGUAGUUGAGGAACCUGAAGCUUUGCCGCGAAGUGGCUUGUGCAGACUUCCACAGUCCAGACACAAUGAUGCCUGGAUCUGCAGCAGCCAUCUUGCAGCCACGAGGCAACAUGCUUGAGGAUGAAAAACCAACAGCUGAAAAUGGAAGAAAGAAAGCCGGAGUUGUUGAUGUCAGCAUUGAGCCACUGAACCAAUGUCUGCAACCACCUACCUCUGGAUUAUUGUUAUAGGAGAAGAAAUAUAGCCUUAUUGAUGU
Molecule: long non-coding RNA, 713 nt
Organism: Diceros bicornis minor
Lineage: Eukaryota; Metazoa; Chordata; Mammalia; Perissodactyla; Rhinocerotidae
Exons: 3
Source: RefSeq, a predicted model, not a curated record